RNAcentral lists this ribosomal RNA (253 nucleotides) under uncultured bacterium. RNAcentral describes it as "partial 16S ribosomal RNA". It matches the Rfam family "Bacterial small subunit ribosomal RNA", at positions 524 to 776 of the family's 1533-position model. The record is from RNAcentral.
UACGGAGGGUCCAAGCGUUAUCCGGAAUCAUUGGGUUUAAAGGGUCCGUAGGCGGUUUGGUAAGUCAGUGGUGAAAGCCCAUCGCUCAACGGUGGAACGGCCAUUGAUACUGCCAGACUUGAAUUAUUAGGAAGUAACUAGUAUAUGUAGUGUAGCGGUGAAAUGCUUAGAGAUUACAUGGAAUACCAAUUGCGAAGGCAGGUUACUACUAAUGGAUUGACGCUGAUGGACGAAAGCGUGGGUAGCGAACAGG